Molecule: non-coding RNA, 134 nt
Organism: Brachypodium distachyon (stiff brome)
Lineage: Eukaryota; Viridiplantae; Streptophyta; Magnoliopsida; Poales; Poaceae
Source: Rfam
CAUAUAUUCCUCCGUCCAACAAGAGGAUGUCUCAACUUUGACUAAAUUUGAAUGCAUCUAUAUACUAAGUCGUGUAGAUACAUCCAAAUUUUAACAAACUUGAGACAUCUUUUGUUGGACGGAGGGAGUGUAUA